This 75-nucleotide transfer RNA is filed under the name Terriglobia bacterium. RNAcentral describes it as "tRNA-Thr". It matches the Rfam family "tRNA". From Rfam's summary of the family: Transfer RNA (tRNA) molecules are approximately 80 nucleotides in length. Their secondary structure includes four short double-helical elements and three loops (D, anti-codon, and T loops). Lineage: Bacteria; Pseudomonadati; Acidobacteriota; Terriglobia. The record is from RNAcentral.
GCCCUGCAAGCAUUGACGGCGAUGUGCCGGUUUUGUAAAUCGGAUAAGCCAGUUCGACUCUGGCGCGGGGCUCCA